Oryza sativa Japonica Group (Japanese rice) is the source of this 1671-nucleotide non-coding RNA. The record is from RefSeq and is a predicted model, not a curated record. NCBI's taxonomy places the organism in Eukaryota, Viridiplantae, Streptophyta, Magnoliopsida, Poales, Poaceae.
CCCGGCCCAUUUGCAACUCCCCACCUCCGACGCCGAGUUCUCCGCUCGUCGACGCCCCGCCGCCACCGCUCAACCACCGCGGCCACCGCGCCGACGAGAUGGCGGUGGCCCCGGGCCCCGGCUGGGCUCCGCCUCCCCGACGCUUCCCUGCAGCCGCGGCGCUCCCCUCCGGUUCGGACCCCCUCCCCUCUCGCUCUCCCGCCAAGCAGUUGCGUGUGGUUAGCUGGGGCCUCUCUCUCUCGCGUGGAAACUGAAUCUGCAGCGGGGUUGGGGUUUCCUGAAUCCUGAAUCCUUUGGUUUCCUUGGUUUGUCCGUUUGGGGUUUGGGGCUGCGAACUUGCCAUCAUUUGUGCACAUUAUGUUCGUAGCUUUUCAUCCUUUUGUAACAUAGGAUUACUACGAGGCCUCUACUCAUAAGUCGUAAGUCGUAACUCUAAUCUAUAGUUUUUUUUCGUUCUUCGAUGUGCACGAAUGAGCUCAUCAACCUGUACAUUUCAGAAUUUGAGAUGGCAUAUGUAUCCCUAUGCGGCUAUGCCCCGUAUCCUUCAUGUCCAACCAUUGGAUGUAAUUUUAUGUUUGCCGUCAAGAGCCCAUACGCCAUUGUGCGACUGUCCCAUUCUCUCUCAAUAUAUGUGCCUAUGAUGGAUAGUGCAAAUUGCAGUAUCAGAGACACAUGCUCACACAUGGAUGGGCUCCAUGUGUUUCAAUAAAGUCAUGCAGCUCCCAGGAGGUGUACCAUUAAGUUUUUUGUAAACAGCACAAUUAUCUGAUGUGAUCCAACACAGCAUCAAUAUCAAUACAGUAUGUUGGAGGAGAAUCUUGCUUGCAUUGGAGUAUGCGUAGAGAUCGUCUGUCAUGGAUUUUACUUGUGUUUCUAGGCUCUUGCAGGAAAUCCCCAUGUGAUGUCUUGCCAACUUGCGACGUGAUAACUGCAUGAGGCUGCAACCUGAUGGAAAUCUCUCGCUGUGGCCAAGUGCCAAUCACACAGUAAAAGCACACGCAUGGCCAAAUCUGGAAUGGAGAAAUUUCAAUGCUCUAUGAUAACAUUUUGGAUAUUCUGCAUCGCCUUCUAUGCUUGGAGCUAUCAAUUACAAAAGGGAAAUGAAGGAGAAACAUGGAUUGGUUCCCGGGACAAGACAUGUGAGUCAUUCAAGCGUUGCUGGAGAAGAACAUGGGCUUGCACUGAGGCACAGCCUGCAGAAACAGGGGACAGACGCAAAUGCCUCCACAUUUCUUCGUCAACCAAGCGCUCAUGGAUCACAGGAAAAAUGCACAUACAUGUGGAGCGUGCGGCAUCCACCCGGCCAUGUCACAUACUCGAUCCCUUCACUAUUUAUGUAUGGGAAGAGCUAGUUUAGUUUUCUCCAACUACUUCAUGGAGUAAUUACAUGUGUCAUUCGGAUAAUAGAGAAUAUGGAACAUGACAGCAAAGUUAGUGAGCUGACGGUUCAGUAGAGAAUAUGGAACGUGACAGCAAAGCUAGUGAGCUGAUGGUUCCAAGCUAGGUGAUGAUUUCGUCUCUGUUUUAAAAAAAUAUGUUGGAAUAUUAUGUCUAGAGAUCGGCACAUGUUUUUUUUUUUCCAUCUCCUUUUUGGGUCAUUUUCUGUAAAAUAACAUUGUUUGUCCACUCAUUGGGAGCAAGCGGAAUGCAUGCAUCAUUUAAAAUUCAACA